Molecule: transfer RNA, 95 nt
Filed under: Dactylonectria macrodidyma
Lineage: Eukaryota; Fungi; Ascomycota; Sordariomycetes; Hypocreales; Nectriaceae
Description: Ilyonectria macrodidyma tRNA
Rfam family: tRNA
About the family: Transfer RNA (tRNA) molecules are approximately 80 nucleotides in length.
Source: Rfam by way of RNAcentral
GCCCGGGUAGCUCAAUUGGCUAGAGCGUGCGGCUUUUACAUUCAGUGACGAAUGAGCCUACCGCAAGGUUGAGGGUUCGACCCCCUCCUCGGGCG